CCCCGCCGAAUUGUAGUCUAGAAAGGCGCCAUCGGCCGCGUCCGUCGCUCAAAUCCCUUGGAACAGGGUAUCGGAGAAGGUGAGAGUCCUGUACCGUGGCGGAUCGCGGCCGCACGAUGCGUUUUUGCAGAGUCGGGUUGCUUGGGAUUGCAGCUUGAAUUGGGUGGUAAAUUCCAUCUAAAGCUAAAUACUGGUUCAUGACCGAUAGCGAACAAGUACCGUGAGGGAAAGAUGCAAAGAACUUUGAAAAGAGAGUUAAAGAGUGCUUGAAAUCGGUGAGAGGAAACCCGUUUGUGCCCGGUUUCGCUGUGUCAAUUCAGCCGUUUCGCAUCGGUGCACUUUGGCAUAGCGGGUCAUCCGCGAUUUCUGCUGCGUCACACCCGCCUUGGGGGCUUCGGUGAGCCAGGUCUUUGACGCGGCGGGGAUGUCGGCUGACGGAACGGGCACAACCGACCCGUCUAGAAACACGGACCAAGGAGUCUGACACGGAUGCGAGUACCCGGGUGGCAAGCCCGCGUGCGCAAUGAAAGUAAAGGGCGUGCCCCGCCAACCGACCUUGAUCUUCUGUGAAGGGUUUGAGUCGAGCAUCACUGUCGGGACCCGAAAGAUGGUGAACUAUGCCUGAAUAGGUUGAAGUCUGCUGAAAGGCAGAUGGAGGACCGUAGCGAUACUGACGUGCAAAUCGUUCGUCGAAUUUGGGUAUAGGGGCGAAAGACUAAUCGAACCAUCUAGUAGCUGGUUCCCUCCGAAGUUUCCCUCAGGAUAGCUUGGACGCAAGGGUUUUGU
Molecule: ribosomal RNA, 786 nt
Filed under: Haptophyta environmental samples
Lineage: Eukaryota; Haptophyta
Description: eukaryotic LSU rRNA
Rfam family: Eukaryotic large subunit ribosomal RNA
Source: RNAcentral